This 30-nucleotide non-coding RNA is filed under the name Mus musculus (house mouse). The record is from RNAcentral. Lineage: Eukaryota; Metazoa; Chordata; Mammalia; Rodentia; Muridae.
UAGAUGUCACUACCAAGAGGAAAGCUACUU